UUACACCAAGGCGUUUGUUCUGCACUAUAGGCGUAAAGAGCUUCGUAGUGUUGGUCACGUCCUGCUGUGAAACGCACGGCUUAACGUUGCGCGUGCAGUGGGUACGGGCUGACUAGAGUGCAGUAGGGGAGUCUGGAAUUCCUGGUGUAGCGGUGAAAUGCGCAGAUAUCAGGAGGAACACCCGGUGGCGAAGGCGGGACUCUGGGCUGUAACUGACGCUGAGGAGCGAAAGCAUGGGGAGCGAACAGGAUUAGAUACCCUGGUAGUCCAUGCCGUAAACGUUGGGAACUAGGUGUGGGGUCCAUUCCACGGAUUCCGUGCCGUAGCUAACGCAUUAAGUUCCCCGCCUGGGGAGUACGGCCGCAAGGCUAAAACUCAAAGGAAUUGACGGGGGCCCGCACAAGCGGCGGAGCAUGCGGAUUAAUUCGAUGCAACGCGAAGAACCUUACCAAGGCUUGACAUACACCGGAAACGGCUAGAGAUAGUCGCCUCUUCGGACUGGUGUACAGGUGGUGCAUGGUUGUCGUCAGCUCGUGUCGUGAGAUGUUGGGUUAAGUCCCGCAACGAGCGCAACCCUCGUUCUAUGUUGCCAGCACGUGAUGGUGGGAACUCAUGGAAGACUGCCGGGGUCAACUCGGAGGAAGGUGGGGAUGACGUCAAAUCAUCAUGCCCUUUAUGUCUUGGGCUUCACGCAUGCUACAAUGGCCGGUACAGAGGGUGGCGAUACCGUGAGGUGGAGCGAAUCCCAGAAAGCCGGUCUCAGUUCGGAUCGUAGUCUGCAACUCGACUACGUGAAGUCGGAGUCGCUAGUAAUCGCAGAUCAGCAACGCUGCGGUGAAUACGUUCCCGGGCCUUGUACACACCGCCCGUCAAGUCACGAAAGUCGGUAACACCCGAAGCCGGUGGCCUAACCCUUGUGGGGGGAGCCGUCGAAAGGGGGGAG
This 943-nucleotide ribosomal RNA is filed under the name Brevibacterium sp. NIOT-COMAPS 8. Its description in RNAcentral is "bacterial SSU rRNA". It matches the Rfam family "Bacterial small subunit ribosomal RNA", at positions 521 to 1468 of the family's 1533-position model. Lineage: Bacteria; Bacillati; Actinomycetota; Actinomycetes; Micrococcales; Brevibacteriaceae. The record is from RNAcentral.